This 504-nucleotide ribosomal RNA is filed under the name uncultured bacterium. RNAcentral describes it as "bacterial SSU rRNA". It matches the Rfam family "Bacterial small subunit ribosomal RNA", at positions 32 to 507 of the family's 1533-position model. The record is from RNAcentral.
AACAACGCUGGCGGCGUGCCUAACACAUGCAAGUCGAACGAGAAAGUCGGUUUCGGCCGAUGAGUAAAGUGGCGCACGGGUGAGUAACGCGUGGAUAAUCUACCCUUUAGUCCGGAAUAACUUGCCGAAAGGUGAACUAAUACCGGAUGACAUCCCGGGUUCUCCGGAAACCGGGAUCAAAGAAGGCCUCUGCUUGCAAGCUUUUGCUGAAGGAUGAGUCCGCGUACCAUUAGCUAGUUGGUGGGGUAAUGGCCUACCAAGGUUAUGAUGGUUAGCUGGUCUGAGAGGAUGAUCAGCCACACUGGAACUGAGACACGGUCCAGACUCCUACGGGAGGCAGCAGUGAGGAAUAUUGCGCAAUGGGGGCAACCCUGACGCAGCAACGCCGCGUGAGUGAGGAAGGUUUUCGGACCGUAAAGCUCUGUCGAGCGGGAAGAAAUGUAUCAUGGCUAAUAUCCAUGAUACUUGACGGUACCGCUAAAGGAAGCACCGGCUAACUCCGUG